GGGAAUAUUGCACAAUGGGCGAAAGCCUGAUGCAGCAACGCCGCGUGAGUGAUGAAGGCCUUCGGGUUGUAAAGCUCUGUCUUCUGGGACGAUAAUGACGGUACCAGAGGAGGAAGCCACGGCUAACUACGUGCCAGCAGCCGCGGUAAUACGCAGGUGGCAAGCGUUGUCCGGAUUUACUGGGCGUAAAGGAUGCGUAGGCGGAUGCUUAAGUCAGAUGUGAAAUUCCCGGGCUUAACUUGGGAACUGCAUUUGAAACUGGGUAUCUAGAGUGCGGGAGAGGAAAGUGGAAUUCCUAGUGUAGCGGUGAAAUGCGUAGAGAUUAGGAAGAACACCAGUGGCGAAGGCGACUUUCUGGACCGUAACUGACGCUGAGGCAUGAAAGCGUGGGGAGCAAAC
This 399-nucleotide ribosomal RNA is filed under the name uncultured bacterium. RNAcentral describes it as "bacterial SSU rRNA". It matches the Rfam family "Bacterial small subunit ribosomal RNA", at positions 357 to 773 of the family's 1533-position model. The record is from RNAcentral.